AACGAACGCUGGCGGCAUGCCUAACACAUGCAAGUCGAACGAGACCUUCGGGUCUAGUGGCGCACGGGUGCGUAACGCGUGGGAACCUGCCCUUAGGUUCGGAAUAACUCCCCGACAGGGGUGCUAAUACCGGAUAAUGUCUUCGGACCAAAGAUUUAUCGCCUUUGGAUGGGCCCGCGUUGGAUUAGCUAGUUGGUAGGGUAAAAGCCUACCAAGCCGACGAUCCAUAGCUGGUCGGAGAGGAUGAUCAGCCACACUGGGACUGGGACACAGCCCAGACUCCUAGGGGAGGCAGAAGUGGGGAAUAUUGGACAAUGGGCGAAAGCCUGAUCCAGCAAUGCCGCGUGAGUGAUGAAGGCCUUAGGGUUGUAAAGCUCUUUUACCCGGGAUGAUAAUGACAGUACCGGGAGAAUAAGCUCCGGCUAACUCCGU
RNAcentral lists this ribosomal RNA (432 nucleotides) under uncultured bacterium. RNAcentral's name for it is "partial 16S ribosomal RNA". It matches the Rfam family "Bacterial small subunit ribosomal RNA", at positions 29 to 506 of the family's 1533-position model. The record is from RNAcentral.